GAGACACGGACCAGACUCCUACGGGAGGCAGCAGUGAGGAAUAUUGGUCAAUGGGAGAGAUCCUGAACCAGCCAAGCCGCGUGAGGGAAGACGGCCCUAUGGGUUGUAAACCUCUUUUGUCGGAGAACAAAACCCGGGACGAGUCCCGGACUGCGUGUAUCCGAAGAAAAAGCAUCGGCUAACUCCGUGCCAGCAGCCGCGGUAAUACGGAGGAUGCGAGCGUUAUCCGGAUUUAUUGGGUUUAAAGGGUGCGUAGGCGGUCCGUUAAGUCAGCGGUAAAAUUGCGGGGCUCAACCCCGUCGAGCCGUUGAAACUGGCAGACUUGAGUUGGCGAGAAGUACGCGGAAUGCGCGGUGUAGCGGUGAAAUGCAUAGAUAUCGCGCAGAACUCCGAUUGCGAAGGCAGCGUACCGGCGCCACACUGACGCUGAGGCACGAAAGCGUGGGGAUCGAACAGGAUUAGAUACCCUGGUAGUCCACGCAGUAAACGAUGAAUGCUGGUUGUCCGGGUCGAAUGAGAUCUGG
RNAcentral lists this ribosomal RNA (524 nucleotides) under uncultured bacterium. Its description in RNAcentral is "bacterial SSU rRNA". It matches the Rfam family "Bacterial small subunit ribosomal RNA", at positions 321 to 842 of the family's 1533-position model. The record is from RNAcentral.